Hibiscus syriacus is the source of this 326-nucleotide long non-coding RNA. RefSeq lists it as uncharacterized. The record is from RefSeq and is a predicted model, not a curated record. NCBI's taxonomy places the organism in Eukaryota, Viridiplantae, Streptophyta, Magnoliopsida, Malvales, Malvaceae. The transcript is spliced from 4 exons.
AAAUAACUAGUGUGGUUCUGCAGGGUUCGAAGCUUGCCAGAUUGCCAGAACCGGAUAGUGUGAUAGAAGUCCUGUUAAUCAAUUCUCCUCAAGGUGCAAUAUAUGGUUGUGGCGACUUGAUCUUUUCAUCACACAUGAUCUUCACCCUGGUCUUCGUCAUCACCUACCAAAAAUACGGCACACGACGGUAAAACAUUUUGGUUGGUUGGUAGCUAUAAUUCAGAGUUUCUUCAUUGUAGCGUCCCGGAAACAUUACACGGUUGACGUAGUCGUCGCAUGGUAUACUGUUAAUUUAGUGGUGUUCUUCAUAGACAAGAAAUUGCCAG